Sebastes umbrosus (honeycomb rockfish) is the source of this 855-nucleotide long non-coding RNA. RefSeq lists it as uncharacterized. The transcript has 2 exons. Lineage: Eukaryota; Metazoa; Chordata; Actinopteri; Perciformes; Sebastidae. The record is from RefSeq and is a predicted model, not a curated record.
CGGCCCCACUGACUACUUUGACCAGUCCAUCCAAGCCCUUUGUUUGGACGGAUGAGUGCCAAAAGUCCUUUGAGAGUCUGAAAGCUCUAUUGUGUUGUGGUCCAGUUUUGUCUGCCCCAAAUUUUUCCUUGCCUUUCAAGGUGGAGGUUGAUGCCAGUGGUGUCGGGGCUGGAGCGGUGCUUCUGCAGGAGGACACCCAGGGUGUUGACCAUCCCGUGAGUUAUUUUUCUCGCAAAUUCAAUAAGCAUCAGCUUAAGUAUUCCACUAUUGAGAAGGAGGCCCUCGCUUUGUUGUUGGCUUUGCAACAUUUUGAGGUCUAUCUUGCAUCCAGUGUUGAACCCAUUAGAGUCUACACAGAUCAUAAUCCUUUGGUGUUCCUCUCAAGGAUGUACAAUCACAACCAGCGUUUAAUGCGUUGGUCGCUGAUGGUUCAAGGGUUCAACCUAGAGAUAGUACAUAAAAAAGGGUCUGAAAAUGUGGUAGCUGAUGCAUUAUCACGUAGUUAGCAGGUUUGUAGUAUAGCAUUGUGUGUAUAUAAUUCCAGCCAUUGUUGGAAUCUUAUGGGUGGAGGUGUUACGUGCCUGCAGGGCCAGACAGGCCUGCAGAGCUUUUCUCCUGUGUUGUUCUGCCCCUCCUCCUUGUCUUGCAGAGGCUUCCAGGAUCCAGAGUUAAUGGAGGUGAUUGGAGUCCACCUGUGCAGACCUUUUGUUUGUUGUGUUUAAAGAAGACAGAUUUAGUUAGGCCUAGUUUUGGUUUGUUAAUUUUGAUUAUUUGGCACAACUAUAUUGUCCCUACCUCCACCACAUUUGUGAACCUCCAAUUGUCCUUUAAUAAACUGUUAAAUUCUGAACUUCA